CAACUUUCAACAAUGGAUCUCUUGGCUCUCGCAUCGAUGAAGAACGCAGCGAAAUGCGAUACGUAAUGUGAAUUGCAGAAUUCCGUGAAUCAUUGAAUCUUUGAACGCACCUUGCGCCCCUUGGUAUUCCGAGGGGCAUGCCUGUUUGAGUGUAAUUG
Molecule: ribosomal RNA, 158 nt
Filed under: Hygrocybe jackmanii
Lineage: Eukaryota; Fungi; Basidiomycota; Agaricomycetes; Agaricales; Hygrophoraceae
Description: 5.8S ribosomal RNA
Rfam family: 5.8S ribosomal RNA
About the family: 5.8S ribosomal RNA (5.8S rRNA) is a component of the large subunit of the eukaryotic ribosome. It is transcribed by RNA polymerase I as part of the 45S precursor that also contains 18S and 28S rRNA.
Source: RNAcentral